CCUACGGGAGGCAGCAGUCGAGAAUCAUUCACAAUGGGGGAAACCCUGAUGGUGCGACGCCGCGUGGGGGAAUGAAGGUCUUCGGAUUGUACACCCCUGUCAUGUGGGAGCAAAUUAAAAAGAUAGUACCACAAGAGGAAGAGACGGCUAACUCUGUGCCAGCAGCCGCGGUAAUACAGAGGUCUCAAGCGUUGUUCGGAAUCACUGGGCGUAAAGCGUGCGUAGGCUGUUUCGUAAGGCGUGUGUGAAAGGCGCGGGCUCAACCCGCGGACGGCACAUGAUACUGCGAGACUAGAGUAAUGGAGGGGGAAGCGGAAUGCUCGGUGUAGCAGUGAAAUGCGUAGAUAUCGAGAGGAACACUCGUGGCGAAGGCGGGUUCCUGGACAUUAACUGACGCUGAGGCACGAAGGCCAGGGGAGCGAAAGGGAUUAGAUACCCCAGUAGUC
This 446-nucleotide ribosomal RNA is filed under the name uncultured bacterium. RNAcentral's name for it is "partial 16S ribosomal RNA". It matches the Rfam family "Bacterial small subunit ribosomal RNA", at positions 338 to 795 of the family's 1533-position model. The record is from RNAcentral.